This 1252-nucleotide long non-coding RNA is filed under the name Calidris pugnax (ruff). RNAcentral's name for it is "lncRNA (ENSCPUG00000018299.1)". The record is from RNAcentral. Lineage: Eukaryota; Metazoa; Chordata; Aves; Charadriiformes; Scolopacidae.
ACUUAAUUCUGUUGGUGCUUCUUAAUUUUAUUUUGUUUUGCUUCUACAGGCAAUCUUCAUCUGUUACAAAACUCCUAGUGUUUCCCUCAUCUUCUCUUCAAAAAUGAGUUAUUUUUCCUUUUUUGCUUUUAUACCUGUCAUCUGUUGAUGUGGAAGAUACUGAUUUUUUCUGGAAAUGAGAACAGGAUAGAGGAACUAGCAGGCAGAGUAAGGAGAAGGAAAGAAGGAGGCCUGUACUUUGAACUCUAUUUUAUGUGUGGACUAGUUUCAGGAGACCUUUGACCACGUUCUCUAAUGCUUUUUGAGAUACAUAGGCAUUUUCACCUACACGGCUGUAAGUUAUGUCCAGUCAUAUGGGAGGCAUUUUGAAGAUGUGUGUUGCCCAGAGGGGACAGUUCACUCCCUGCCUUGUGGACUUUUUUUUCUAUUAGAGUAUAACAUUUUUUUCUUGUUUUUUUUUUUCAAGAAUUCAGAAGGGAUACUCAUAGUGCAAUGGUGCAGGGAUUGUGUUGAGGGUUUGCUGAAAUGAGUAAAUUUGCUCACACACCUUCGUCUGAGUGAACAGGUCUUAGUGGAAGGUUGGGAAGGCUGAAAAGGUGUUUUUAAAAGCAUAUGGGUGACUGUAGACUACAAGCCUUCUAAAUGCUUUAAAAACUCUGCCCCUGACUUUUGUUCCUGAUUGAGCUAUGGAUUUGGUGUAUAGAUUGUGAAUCUGCACACCACUGAAACCAUGCAGCUUCCAAAUCUGUUUUUCUCUCUAUAAAAGGGAAAAAAAGAUUUUUGUUUUUUCUCUGUUACUCUGUGAAUGCUUUUUAGAGAAACAGGUUACCACCUAGGGGAAUAUCUGUAAAAUUCAGUGUUUAGAAGUUUUACUUUUGUUAAUAUUGGAGAGAGUAAACUGGAAAACAAAUCCAAGUUAGUUGCCCACUCCAAAGAUCCCCUCAGAAGGACCCACAGGUGAAGCACUUCAAGGUUCACAGUGUCCAACCUGCAGAGAGAAUAGAAGGAUCCAGAACAAGUAUGAGAGAUUUGUUUUGCAGACCAGAAGAGACAAGGAGGCCUUGCAGAAAAGGGUUGUGGAACUGGAAGCUGAACUGAAAAGAUGCAAACAUGAGACACCUCCAGACCAAGAGAACAAAGGGGGCUGCUUUUCUAAGGGAAUCCAGAGGUUUGAAGAUACUUUUAAAUCAUCACAGCAGGAAGAUCCAGCAUCAUAGUCUUAAGAUGCUACAGGAAGUGAGUAUACAUCUUG